Molecule: long non-coding RNA, 2575 nt
Filed under: Homo sapiens (human)
Lineage: Eukaryota; Metazoa; Chordata; Mammalia; Primates; Hominidae
Description: HSALNT0337690
Source: RNAcentral
CAUAAUGCAGUAGCCACUGGAUUUGCAGCAGAAACACUCUGCUACAGAACAAGUGUCUUGGUUCACAGCAAAGAGGACAAAGAAAACAGCAAGUUUUAGGGGGUUGAAUCCUGGAUUCCCCUGGCAAACACCAUUCUACUUUCCGUCUCUAUGAAUUUGACUACUCGAAGUACCUCAUGUGAAAUGUUGGUGCCAAAUGAACUUUUCUGGUUCUUCUGAAUGUGGUGACCAGAUGGAUAUAAACGGGCUGUGGAAAAAGAGAAUGCAUGGCCAAAAAUGGUGGUGCUCUCUGUCCAAAAACUGAGGCCCUAUGACCAUGAAUGAAGCCAGAGGGCAGGUAGGAAUAGAUCAUUUGCUCCAGAAGAAGCUGGUUGCCAUGUCUUGAGGACAGUAAACCCUCUGGGGAGGUUCCUGUGGUAAGGAACAAGGGCUCCUGGCAAUAGCCUCUGAGUGAGCCACCUUGAAAAUGGAUUGUCCAGCCCCAGUCAAGCUUUCAGAUGACUGUAGCUCCUGCCAAUGUCUUCACCACAACCUCAUGAGAUCCCAAGCUACAACCACUCAGAACUUCAUCUUUUGGGAAGCACCAGGGAGAGCUGCCUGUGCCUGGCAGAAGCUGCCCAUGCCCCACUGAUACCCCACAGUACUUCCUGUUCUGCUUAGUACUCCUGCUUCUUUCUACAAACAACUGUGAUUCUCUACCUGGGAGCUUCCUCUGGCCACAGGAGCCUGCUCACCUGAUUGGGACACCCUAGCAGUACUGGCUCAUAGAUGGAAGGGACUUGCCUUGUCGCUGAUGAGACUUUCGACUUGGACUUUUGAGUCAAUGCUGGAAUGAGUUAAGACUUUGGGGAACUGUUGGAAGGGUGUGAUUGUGUUUUGAAUUGUGAGGACAUGAGAUUUUGAAGAGGCUAAUGGCAGCGUCCCCACCUAAAUCUCUUCUUGAAUUGUAGUUCCCAUAAUCCCCACGUGUCGUGGGGUGGAGCCGGUGGAGAUAAUUGAAUCAUGGGAACACUUUCCCCCAUGCUGUUAUUGUGAUUGUGAAUUCUCACGAGAUCUGAUGGUUGUAUAAACGCCUUCCCUCUUCGCUGGGCACUCAUUUUUCUCCUUCCUGCCACCAUGUGAAGAAGGAUAUGCUUGCUUCUUGUGCCAUGAUUACAAGAACACACUCAGAAAUUUUCUCAACACAGUUUCUAUGCAGAGAAGAGAUGUGGGACAGAUUUGAACUGCUGUCAUAUUUGUAUGAACCCAAGACAUUUUCCAAGACCAAGAGGGAUAAAGACAGCAAUUUCUAUGACUGGCAUUUUACGUGCAUGCACUGUUUCCAAGUGUUCUUGUGUUCUGUGCCUUAAACAUUCUGUGUUGCAACUUUAUGAAUUGAAUUAAAGAUAAUCCCAAGCCCCCAAUUGUCUCAAAAAGUGAAAAAGUAAAUGUUAUAGAAAGAAAAGCGGGAAAAACUUUAAGCAUGAAAUAAAAGAUGGGUUGUGAUAAAAGAGGACUGAAGAAGGAAAAGGAAUGAAAGGUUCUGCCAUCCUUCAUGGCAGCCCACUCCACUUGGUAUGAGAUACUGCUCCCUUGGCUGAAAGUUAACUGCUGUACUCCCUCCACUUUCUAUAAAUGACUCCCUGUGCCUUUCCUUCACCACACAACUCACACUCUCUUCCUUCCUAGUGAGUCCACUAAGGCUUCACUGCAUUAUUACAUUUAUUUCAUUUAGGAAAAACUGACUUUAUUUUCCUUCAAAUUGUUUUUUAUUGUUUAUAUGAGCUUGGUUUUAUUGUCAUUCUAUUUUUCUCCAUGAAAAUAGAGAAAAAUAGGGUCGAAAGGUUAGGUUGGGUGGAAAGGAAUUAUAUUUUUUCUCACUAAAAUUGAUGUAAAUAUCGUUUUCAAUUGAAUGAUUUUACACAGUGGCACAGUUUCAGGUAUGUUGCUAAGCAGGAAAGUUGUUAACCAAAGCAUGAAUGUAUUAAGGAGAUGUAUGCAGAAUGACAUGCAAGGUUAUCUAUGAUUGCUGAGUGAGAAAGAGCAAGUUGCUGAGUAUUAUAUAAGUAUGAUCUCACUUUUGUAAAAAAAAAAAAAAAAAAAGGCCUGGACUGAUCUGAAAUGACCCUAUUAAUAACAAUUAUGUCCAGGUCUGUAUUGCAUACUUGUCAUUCAUUACAGGAUCUUGAGACACAAUGCAAAGGAUCACAUCGCAGCUCUGUAACUUGUUAACUAUAAGAUUUUGAGUAACAUAACACCUUACUCCUUAAAAUUGCUUAAAAAAAAUCUGAACAUCAGGAAUAUUCUACUUCACAGGGUCGUUGUGAUAAUUAAAUGUAGUAAUCAAUGACAAUAGUGCCAGAUACAGUAGAUAGCCUACACUUUGCAGCUACUAUUUCUAUCUAUCAUCCAUCUAUUAAUAUAUAUCAUCUAUCUUUAACUUAUCAUCUAUCUUGUUCCAGUUUUUUAAAAUGAACAUGUAUUAACUUUGUAAAAAAUUAAGGCUAUAAGAUGUGCUGAGCUUUUGGAAUAGAUUUUCCUGUACUAUAUAUGACUGCCAGUGGGAGAAUUUGAAUAAAUGUGUAAAUUUGACUAA